Zingiber officinale is the source of this 5158-nucleotide long non-coding RNA. RefSeq lists it as uncharacterized. Lineage: Eukaryota; Viridiplantae; Streptophyta; Magnoliopsida; Zingiberales; Zingiberaceae. The record is from RefSeq and is a predicted model, not a curated record. The transcript has 7 exons.
AUGCUCGACUUCAUUACUUGAAAAGAAACUUUGUGAAUGUCAAAACUCUCAUGUGGACUAGAAGGCAAUUUUUUUAAUCCAUACGCGACAGCAUACUGGAGUCGUUGACCUUGACUUGCUAACGGGCAAGUUGACCAAACAAAGGACGAGAAUCUUUUAGGUAGUUGUGAUCAUCCACUAAUGACUUUGUGAUGCCUGCGCUAGGAUUGAAGAAAUCACAAGUUGUAGCUGAAAAUGCAUAAGAAAUGUUUCUGCUUUCACUUUGAUGCUGCACAGAAAACGGACCCUAAGUUCUGCCCACACAGUUGCAAUCUGAUGGUGGUUUCACAUCUGGAUCAGCCUCAUGAACCACUGCAAUUUUAAGCUUUCCCGCUGUUGUUAAGGGAGAAAGCAAAGCCCAAUUUCAUUGUCAUGUUGCUAAUUUCAUUCAAAGAAAAAGAGCGUCGAUGAACCACCUGUGUCUGAAAUGCUUGUGCAUUCAUAAUCAUACUCGCCUUGUCUUCGUCAUCUUUGAGAAGUCUCUUGCAGGACUUCAAUGGCGUUAUUAGUAAUUGGUUUUUGAUAUAGUACCUGAAUAAAUAUUACAAACGAACCUGACCCAUUUAGGUUCAACAAGAUGUUUUUCUGUUUAAAACUUCCUGUCCAACUAUGCAUGAACGAGUACCCAGUGGCCUUGUCAGUUGAUUUGUUAAAUAUUGGUAGCAAAUUGGAAUUCACGAAUUCCUUGUGGAAAAGGUACAUUUUCUGCUUAGUUUUAAUUAGAAUACCAAGAGAAUUCCUCUCGAUUCCUCCUUUAAAGUUUGGAAAAAAAUAAAUCAAGCGAGGGGGAGACUGCACAAGUUGUCCUGACUUUAGGAUAUCUUGGCUUAUAAAAUGCGAACCGCCAGGGUGUUACAAGUAGGAAAGGUAGGAGGAACAAAAGAGUACCUCCUUUGAACCAUUCAUCUUUAGUGUUGAAACCUAUAGAGCACAUAGAAGGCUUGCUAAAGAGAAAGAUACAGAUGUUGUCAAAAGGACAAAGGCAAGACUCCAAUUCAAAUAUCUUCAUGGCAAACCUUCCAGCUCUAGAAAUUGUAAAAUCUCAGAACGAAAUGUUACAUUUCUCAAAUUGAACAAAUCAAUGUUUAAGAAACUCACAAGUUCCUGUACUCAGUUUUCUUAGAUGAAAUGGGACUAGAUGAAGUUUAACAACACUAUCUUUCCUAUGAAGUACCUCAGUUUUCUUUGAUGCACUCAGUUUUCUUUGCAUGCAGGAAGGUUGAAGAUUUAUUGAUCAUCCGUAGGAAAUCCUAUGAAGUACCUCUUUCUAACCAUCUAAAUCUAAUUACUGUCAGAUUGAUCUUGGUGUUAAUGGCCGCUUCAUUAUCUACAGAAAUUUGUGUUAAAUUUAUCUAUGGAAAAUAGAAAUGUUGACAAUUGCUCUCAGUAAGCAAACUAUUUCGAACCACAGAAAAAAAGAAAGCUAUUGUAAAGAAGGGUAUAUGCAAGAAGGUGAUAUGCACAAUGUCUCAUGCAUAAGGCCUCUAUAGUAGGGGGCAUUAUAACACUUACAUUGUGGCACAAAGGUGUGAGUUCAUUCAAUUGGAAGUCCCUGUGGUACCCUCAAGUAAAGAUGACUUUGCUAUCCUGCUUUAAUUGGAUAAGAUUUGAGGAAAAAGGAGAGGAAAUAGUAUUAAAUUUAUCUCUUGUUGCCUGAACAUUACUUUUUAGAUGAGCUCAUAACUAUGCUACUCCUUGAUGCCUCAUAUAACAUGACUCCCUUAUACUAUAGUGGGACAGUGAGGUUUACUGACACUAAAACAUCCUCAUGACCAUUGCUCAUACAAUCAAUGUGAUAAGAGUUGUCACACUCAAGUGAGGUGGCAUUUCACAUCAUGAAGAUGCUUGGGAUCUGGUGGUGCAGACAUGUUUGGUAUUAAGUAAAGGCAGGUUGUAGAAUGCAUUCACUACAAGCUCAAGUGUUAAAGUACAAACUUUAUAAAAAGCUCAACAGAUUAUAGGUUGCAUACAGAUUGAAAAUCAGACAAGGAGAAUCUACACAUUCCUUCACUCUCUUACAGAAAUUGGAGAUUCUCUAUGGCCUGAAUUAACCAUUCUUACAAUUCCUAAGAGAACCUCUCCAACGCUCACAUUGUUCUAGUUUCAAUCUACUACUACAAUCACCACAUGCUAUCCAAGUAGUAAUCCCUUGCCACUUCCCUCACUGCCGUAGCAGUCCUCACAUCUCUCCCUUGCAUUCUAUGCUUCAAACUGCCUGACUCACUAGUAUUGUACUCCACCUCCUUCGCAACAACUUUCUUCCUCGGGCUGCCCUUCUCCGCCCGCUGCUUCGGCACACUCUGAGUUCUUACUUUGGCAGCAAAAGACGACGUUUUCGCCAUGUAGCCCGGGCAGCUCGAACGGCUCGGAGUUGUUGGCCGGUGACUAUGACUGUUCUGAGAGAAGGGUGAUUUGUCAGGGUGCUGAUAGCAGACGAUAGGUGGAACCUUGUGUGGAAGUGGAGAUGAAGCUGGAAUCAUAGGCUCCUCAAAUACAUUGUAGUUGGGAGUUGCUCUCCUGAAUGAUUUGGACUUGAGCUGAAUUCUGUGGUGAGUCUUGGACUCCUUUGGGGAAGUGUAAGGGGAGCUUGUUGAGGCCAUGCAUGAGACUGAGCUCUCAUGAGAGCUUGCAGUCUGCGGAGGGCGACGGCUGCUUGCUUCCUCACGAGGUAGCCUCGAACGAGUGCCUGCAACUUCACCAGGGCUUUGAGUGCCCGGAGAGCUUUCUUGGCCUGCGUCACAUCAUUAGCCAUUAAUUUAAGCAGAGGAAAUUGGAUGGAGGCUACAGUGACGUUGUUUAGUUUGGUCUCACCAAGUGGCGCCUGAAGGCGGUCUGGAUCUUGACGGCGGCCCACCACGGGUAGCUCCCCAGCAGCACCGCCCUCGUCUCCUUCCCCAGGCUCUGCAGCCGCCACAUUGCCGCCUGCGCAGCAGACACAGCCGCAUUGGCCGCGGCCGCGGUGGCGACGGCCACCGCGAUUGCGUGCUUCCCGUCUUCCUCGCUCUCGUCGUAGAAGGACCUCAGCCACGCCACGUCCGUCGCCGACAGGGGACUCUGGUGCCCCAUGCUCUCGUCUUGGCGCAGCUUGGAGUUGGCGAUGCCGAAGCUCCACCUAUUCCUCUCCUUGGCUUCGUAGCCGCUGAUGCUGGCAUUGUCUUUUCCUGCCGCCUUCGCUUCCUUCUUCCCCCAAAGAACACUCCUCAGCCACCUCGUCGCUCGGCCCAUGGCGCCGGAGCUCCAGCUUAAUUAUCAAAAGCUACAAAACAAACCACAACACCUGAUCUGAAGGCCUACUACAAUUAUAAGAGAGGGUCAGAAAAAAAUCAAGAAAAUAAUGGAAGAAAGAGGUAAAUAUUUGAUUGCUCCACUUCGACAGCAGAAAGAGGCACUCCUCUUACAGUGAUCGUCUCGUGUCUCCCAAUAUUCGCCACCAACUCAGAUUUAUCGUCACAAACGACAGAGCGGGGAGGUUUUUUGCCGCAGUGAAAGGAGGAAAAAUACAAGCAAAAUUAAUUCCCUCCUCUGCCUCUGCCACCUGUAGGUUGCUCCUUCCUCGCGGCGGAAGCCUUCAUCUUUGACUCGACGCUCUACAGAGCACAGCGCCCGAACAGUGCAAGUGUGAAGAAAUCCCUCAAAGAACGAAAAAGUUCGGAUCUUUCCGCAGGCAAUGGCAGAGAUAAGCGACAGGUAGUAAUGAAACCGAGCUCAAUGCUUACAGCAAUGUCGGAUGUGGCAGAGUGCAGUCCGAGUGCGACCACCCCUCCUCAGCUCCUCUUCCUCGCUGCUCGAUUCUUUGGCACACCGGGGAGGAGGCGGAGGAGAGCGAGACGGAAGAGGAAAGACGGCGGCUUUGAUCUCCAGGCACGGCAUAUAAAAUGGCUAGGAACGGCGACAUGUGAUGACGAUGCCGCGGUGGGGGCCGGCGCGGGCUUCUCUGCCAUUGGCUGUUUCCGGAUCUAAGGCGGCGGCUCGAAUCUGGGAGAUGUGGUUUUAGAUUGUGGUAAUAAUUGGAUAAAUCGGAGUGGAUUAACCUAAUAAUGGAACCGUUUAUUCGAUCGAGGCAGCGGAGGAAGCGCGGUGGGUGGAAGGGAGGGGUUUCCGAGGCAGGCAUGACGUCAUCUGGCGUGGGCUGCCGUGGCCUUAAAUUGCGUGCGCGAGCAUCUCGCGCUACCUAAUUAUCUCGUCGCACGCCAAACGCCGAGGGCAUUUAGUGGCGCAUGCAGCGAUGGCAGCUUGAAAUUAGGCCCGGGCACGUGCGAGCUGAUGAUCUGUUUGGAAUGCACACUCCUCACUGAAGCUCACUUCCUACCUACCCUGAUCCACAUCUGACUGAGCUGAGUUCAUCAUCAACCUCCUCUCCCUUUCAAAUAACCACUGAUGCAUGCCACUGAGUGCAGCAGCAGCAGCAGCAGCUGCAGCUGCUUAAUUGAGGAGUUCAACUAUUAAGCAGAGUUUGAUCUGUUCUCUAUGGUGCAGCUUAUGGUCUCAGUAACCACACAGAAACACAAUGUGUAUGUGGAGACAAUUUGUCUGAACUGAGAGUUAUUGGGCGUAUUAAAAGCCAAGCAGGUAGCUGAUGUCCAUACAUGAAUGAUUCACUGAACUGAAAGCAGCAGCUCAAUGCACUGAAUUCAUCGAACAUAUGCAGUGUUGGGUCAUGUUGAAAGGAGAUUUGCCUAGCUCUUUCCUUCCGUGUCCUUAGGCUUCGCGGCUUUCCUUUUCGAUGAUUGUAGCCGUGGUGGCUUCGGUGCAGUGGUUCUUAGGUCAAGCCGGGCACUGAUUUAGUUGUGGAUGUGGUCGAAAACUUCUUCCAUGCACAUUGAUAGUUAAACAAAAGGGUUAAAUUGACUUGGAAAAUAUCCAUGGAAAAUAAUCAAAGGCAUCAACAAAUCAUGACUUUCUUCAACAUAGAUGGUCAUGAUUAUAAUGUGGUUUAGGCAAGACAGAUCUUCAUUUUUAAGCUAAAUUUGAGACACAUAUGAAGAUCAAUCAAGUCUAAUUGACAUUUUUUUUAUGUUAAUAGGCGACGCUCAUUAUCGAGCCGGCCCAAUAGGCCUAUGAAAGUCCAUGGUUCUAAAGUUUUGACUUAUUGUAGAAGACAAUAUACUUUGGAGAAAAA